This is a long non-coding RNA of Haliotis rubra (blacklip abalone), 529 nucleotides long. RefSeq lists it as uncharacterized. The transcript has 3 exons. The record is from RefSeq and is a predicted model, not a curated record. Lineage: Eukaryota; Metazoa; Mollusca; Gastropoda; Lepetellida; Haliotidae.
GAGAUGGGGACAGCUGCUGUGUCAGCUAGGUGAGGUCCAGGUGGGUGAGGUCUCUUGUAGAUAGGGCGAGAUGGGGACAGCUGCUGUGUCAGCUAGGUGAGGUCCAGGUGGGUGAGGUCUCUUGUAGAUAGGGCGAGAUGGGGACAGCUGCUGUGUCAGCUAGGUGAGGUCCAGGUGGGUGAGGUCUCUUGUAGAUAGGGCGAGAUGGGGACAGCUGCUGUGUCAGCUAGGUGAGGUCCAGGUGGGUGAGGUCUCUUGUAGAUAGGGCGAGAUGGGGACAGCUGCUGUGUCAGCUAGGUGAGGUCCAGGUGGGUGAGGUCUCUUGUAGAUAGGGCGAGAUGGGGACAGCUGCUGUGUCAGCUAGGUGAGGUCCAGGUGGGUGAGGUCUCUUGUAGAUAGGGCGAGAUGGGGACAGCUGCUGUGUCAGCUAGGUGAGGUCCAGGUGGGUGAGGUCUCUUGUAGAUAGGGCGAGAUGGGGACAGCUGCUGUGUCAGCUAGGUGAGGUCCAGGUGGGUGAGGUCUCUUGUAG